Melitaea cinxia (Glanville fritillary) is the source of this 316-nucleotide long non-coding RNA. RefSeq lists it as uncharacterized. Lineage: Eukaryota; Metazoa; Arthropoda; Insecta; Lepidoptera; Nymphalidae. The transcript is spliced from 3 exons. The record is from RefSeq and is a predicted model, not a curated record.
CUGUAAUGUUUUCAGACUUCUGCCAUCUCAUAAAAAAUGUUCGGUAUAUUGUUAUUCAGCAUUCAUGUUUUCAGACUCCAUAUGGAAUAAUACAAAAGCGUCACUGGGAAGAUGUAUUGAAUAUUGAGAGAUACGACGCCCCUAAUUUGAAAAUGCUCAUAAGCUGUCACCAACUCAUCUCCACCCAAUUGGUUAUCAGAAGAUGAAAGUUUCCUUAGCAUUCGAAAGUUUAAUCAGACUGAUUGACAAUUUAGUCAGAGCGAUGAUGUCAAGAACCCCACUGCGAGCUUUAAAAUAUUCACAAUCGGAAGUAUGC